CUACCCUAUACAGGGUUGAUAGCAAAGGGCUAUUUCUACUCAUAAUGACUAUUUCUGGGAACCAAAGGGCAAAUUGAGGUCCAGUUUUCACAGUUGGAUUCACAUUGACACAGAAGCCUGCCUAUGCUGAUCUAGGGGAAGACUGGCCUUUAGAUGAGUUUGACUGCAUGCCCAGGCUGGCGAGUAUGAGAGCAUAAGGAACUCUGCUACUUCCUGUUGCAGGCUAACUGCAUUGCCAGACCCUGCCUAGGAGAGAGGGAUAGUCUGUGGAUGGCUUCUCUUGUGCAGAGUGGACCGCAUCUUAAUGGAGCUAGUGUCUGAUGGACCAAACUCUCCCCUCUAGUGAGCAUCCCAUGGACCACCAUUACUACUUGCAAUCACAUAACUUUCUGAUACAUUUUAUAUGUGCCAACCUCUCUAUGGCAGAUGUUCAUCUCUGUUGAACAGAGCACCAUACAGAUGUUUUACUGACUACAGGUGACAUGUUUAACAACAAUAAGCUCCAGAAGUAUUGGAAGAGUUUUUAGCUAAGAAUCUGGACAAAAUGAAGGACUUGCAAAGUAUACAGCUAAAGAAAAUAUUAAA
This is a long non-coding RNA of Malaclemys terrapin pileata, 585 nucleotides long. RefSeq lists it as uncharacterized. The record is from RefSeq and is a predicted model, not a curated record. NCBI's taxonomy places the organism in Eukaryota, Metazoa, Chordata, Testudines, Emydidae. The transcript is spliced from 5 exons.